RNAcentral lists this transfer RNA (73 nucleotides) under Planctomycetaceae bacterium. Its description in RNAcentral is "tRNA-Thr". It matches the Rfam family "tRNA". Rfam says of the family: Transfer RNA (tRNA) molecules are approximately 80 nucleotides in length. Their secondary structure includes four short double-helical elements and three loops (D, anti-codon, and T loops). Lineage: Bacteria; Pseudomonadati; Planctomycetota; Planctomycetia; Planctomycetales; Planctomycetaceae. The record is from RNAcentral.
GCCGCUAUAGCUCAGUUGGUAGAGCGACGCUUUCGUAAAGCGUAGGUCGAGGGUUCGAGUCCCCCUAGCGGCU